RNAcentral lists this ribosomal RNA (429 nucleotides) under bacterium. RNAcentral's name for it is "partial 16S ribosomal RNA". It matches the Rfam family "Bacterial small subunit ribosomal RNA", at positions 355 to 776 of the family's 1533-position model. The record is from RNAcentral.
UAGGGAAUCUUCCACAAUGGACGCAAGUCUGAUGGAGCAACGCCGCGUGAGUGAAGAAGGUUUUCGGAUCGUAAAGCUCUGUUGUUGGUGAAGAAGGAUAGAGGCAGUAACUGGUCUUUAUUUGACGGUAAUCAACCAGAAAGUCACGGCUAACUACGUGCCAGCAGCCGCGGUAAUACGUAGGUGGCAAGCGUUGUCCGGAUUUAUUGGGCGUAAAGCGAGCGCAGGCGGAAUGAUAAGUCUGAUGUGAAAGCCCACGGCUCAACCGUGGAACUGCGUCGGAAACUGUCAUUCUUGAGUGCAGAAGAGGAGAGUGGAAUUCCAUGUGUAGCGGUGGAAUGCGUAGAUAUAUGGAAGAACACCAGUGGCGAAGGCGGCUCUCUGGUCUGCAACUGACGCUGAGGCUCGAAAGCAUGGGUAGCGAACAGG